This 468-nucleotide ribosomal RNA is filed under the name uncultured bacterium. RNAcentral's name for it is "partial 16S ribosomal RNA". The stretch from base 51 to 468 matches the Rfam family "Bacterial small subunit ribosomal RNA", at positions 37 to 507 of the family's 1533-position model. The record is from RNAcentral.
GGGGGGGGGGGGGGGGGGGGGGGGGGGGGGGGGGGGGGGGGGGGGGGGGGUGGUGGUGGGGGGUGCGGGGGUGGGGAGGGGGGGAGUAGCACGUGGGUGGCCUGACGUUGACGUGGGGAAGAGGGCCGGCAACUGGGGGUAAUCCGGGAUGGGGGCUCGGGCAGCACGGGUGGGGUUGGAAGGUUGCGGGUGUUGGGGCUGGCCUCUCGGCUUAUCAGCUUGUUGGUGGGGUAGUGGCUUCCCAAGGCUGUGACGGGUAGCCGGCCUGAGAGGGUGCCCGGCCACAUUGGGACUGAGAUACGGCCCAGACUCCUACGGGAGGCAGCAGUGGGGAAUAUUGCACAAUGGGCGGAAGCCUGAUGCAGCAACGCCGCGUGCGGGAUGACGGCCUUCGGGUUGUAAACCGCUUUCGCCUGUGACGAAGCGUGAGUGACGGUAAUGGGUAAAGAAGCACCGGCUAACUACGUG